RNAcentral lists this ribosomal RNA (253 nucleotides) under uncultured prokaryote. RNAcentral's name for it is "partial 16S ribosomal RNA". It matches the Rfam family "Bacterial small subunit ribosomal RNA", at positions 525 to 777 of the family's 1533-position model. The record is from RNAcentral.
ACAGAGGUCUCAAGCGUUGUUCGGAAUCACUGGGCGUAAAGGGUGCGUAGGUGGCGUGGUAAGUCAGAUGUGAAAGCCCGGGGCUCAACCUCGGAAUUGCAUCCGAUACUGCCGUGCUCGAGUACUGGAGAGGUGACUAGAAUUCUAGGUGUAGCAGUGAAAUGCGUAGAUAUCAAGUGGAACACCAGUGGCGAAGGCGAGUCCCUGGACAAGACCUGACACUGAGGCGCGAAAGCCAGGGGAGCAAACAGGA